This 417-nucleotide long non-coding RNA is filed under the name Salmo salar (Atlantic salmon). Its description in RNAcentral is "lncRNA (ENSSSAG00000111410.1)". The record is from RNAcentral. Lineage: Eukaryota; Metazoa; Chordata; Actinopteri; Salmoniformes; Salmonidae.
CUUCACCCUGUCUGUCUCUGACCACUAGGCCUAUCAGAUGGACCAAUAGAGGCCCUCUCCUUCACCCUGUCCGUCUCUGACCACUAGGCCUAUCAGAUGGACCAAUAGAGGCCCUCUCCUUCACCCUGUCUGUCUCUGACCACUAGGCCUAUCAGAUGGACCAAUAGAGGCCCUCUCCUUCACCCUGUCUGUCUCUGACCACUAGGCCUAUCAGAUGGACCAAGAGAGGCCCUCUCCUUCACCCUGUCCGUCUCUGACCACUAGGCCUAUCAGAUGGACCAAUAGAGGCCCUCUCCUUCACCCUGUCUGUCUCUGACCACUAGGCCUAUCAGAUGGACCAAUAGAGGCCCUCUCCUUCACCCUGUCCGUCUCUGACCACUAGGCCUAUCAGAUGGACCAAGAGAGGCCCUCUCCUUC